UGUUCGUUUGUGAUUUAUUUAACACUACAUGUAGGUCAAUAAUCCAAACAACGGUGUUAAUCAAAUUUUGAAAGAUAUAUCUUGGGGACCUGCACCUACGGUUACUACUAUGUCUAAGUAGUUUGUGAACGAUUACAAAUUUCACACCGAGGAAUACUCCAAGUAUUAAAAAAAAAAAAGCAAUAACAAUUGGAUGUGUGUCAAAGGUGGUGAAGGCAACCAGGAUGAGGAAAAUGAUUAUUAUGGUGUGAUCAAAGAGAUUCUAGAAUUAUCAUAUUCAGGUUGGCCAAAUAAGAAAGAUCAUACUUUUCCGAUGCAAGCGGUUUUACCCAACACCUAGAAGAAGUACAAAUGUACAUUCACAGUACAACAUAAUUGAGGUUAAUAAAAAGAGGGGGUAUGAUCGCUAUGAUCCUUUUAUAAUUGCAAAAAAAGUCAGGCAAGUAUAUUAUGGUCCAUAUCUAUUGCGGAGAGAUAAGGCUGAUUGGUUGGUUGUAAUCAAAACUAAGUCUGUUGGUAGGGUGGAAAUUGAGAAUGCUCUAGAUGUUGCUUACCAAAACAACACCUCAAGUGUUAACCAAAUGGUGGAUGACCAGUUAGAAAAUGACUUGGAGCAUCCUCAACGCAUAUUAGAAGAAGUUGAUAUGGAGGAAAUAACAAUCAUAAAAAAUAAGGACGAAGAAUCACCUGAUGAAAAUGAAGUAAGUGAAGAGGAAGAAUUUUCGGACGAGAAAGGAUACUUCGAAGACGACUAAUGACAGAUAAGGGUCGAGGUAGGUCUAGGAAGGAUAAAAGUCCUAUUGAUCAUGAGGAUAAUGCUACACCCUCGCUUCCUUCCGCUCCACACUUGCAUCCCUCCAUUUCUGAUGGCCGGCAACGAUCUUCUAGGCACACAUCUUUUCUACCACAUCCAUUUACUCAUCAAACUACCUACCAUUCGCCCUCCCAACUGUAUUCUUGUCAUUAUCCACUAUAGGGCUAUACCCCGCUUCCUCCACAUGAUCCUGCAAGUAGUUACAUGGGUCCAUCGAGUUAGCAGUCAUAGGGCCAUGUGGUGAUGUGCUCGUCAUCUGCUCCAUUUGCUUCAGCACCAGCUGGAUAGCAUACAUCUAGAUUCAACCACCCGGAUCGUAGCAAGGGUCUAGAUUGCAUCCAUCUUCAUCAGCGACCCCAUCUCCCUCUCCACAGAGUUUGUCUCCUAGCAUUUCUAGACUUCAUCUUCGGGAUAGUAGCGGUGAGCCAAAUGCCUCCCCUUCUACGCACGCUUUAGAUUCAUCGGAUGAUGAUGAUCCAGAGGAAGUGCAAUAUGAUCGUUAUCUAGGAUGAUCAUCAGGCCUGAAGGUAAUGGGUUCAUACCUAAUCAUCAAACUACAAAGAUAAUCACUUAAUCUGCAAUUAGUUGUAUGAUGCAACCUAUGCGACUUGGAGUAAAUUUCCACCGGAGCUCGUGGAGCAAAUUUUCAACCAAUUUAAGAUUAAGUGGUCCUGGGAGGACCGGCAUAACAGUGUCAUUCUUACAAAUUUUGUGUUUAAAUGCCGUAAGAGACUAUCUGAUUCCUUCUAUUCUGCUCGGAAGAAGAGCAAGAAGCCUUCAUGGGUUUUACCACAUUUAUGGGAGGAUCUAUUGAGGCAGUGGACCAUUGAAAAUUUGAGAAGAUGAGUGAACAUGGAAAGAAGGUCCGAGCAUCUGAGAAUAGUGGCUCCUUGCACUGUGUGGGUUCAAGGAGCAUGGGGACUGCGAGGAGACUACUGGAAAAAAAAUAUGUAAGAAAGAUGACUCAUGAUGAGUUCUUCACGGAGACUCACAUCUGGAAGAAGAAGGCACCGACAUAUCCAAGUAGAUGGGUCGAGGAUCGGGCAGAGACUAUGUAUGAUCUCUACAAGACUAAUGUGAAGGAGUACACUCCAAGCUUGCCACCGAAUGGGCAAGGUGAGCGACCACCCAUUUCAGACGAAGAAGCGCAGAAGAUAUGGUUGGAUGUUAUCAGUGGUCCUAAAAAAGGGAUAGCAUACGGCCUAUUAGAGAGAUCAUUUCGGCGCUACAGGGAUGGAUUGCAAGGUAUAGGGACUUUCAUAUAGAGCGAGACAAUUGAUAGGUCGACUCUCUCAUCUAUGAAGAAGAAGAUCGCAAAGUUGACAGCAGAACUUGAAGAGACAAAGGCUAGAAAACAAAAGAGAGAUAAACAAUUUGAUACCAUUCAAGUUCAGCUAGAAAAGAGGGACCAACAAUUUAAUGUCCUUCAAGGUCAGCUGGCCAAUCUUCUUGCUAGUGGUGCUUUCCCGAUUCCUCGGUCUCGUGAGCCUUCCCCAAAUCUAAUCUUUCUUGUCGUGAUCCUCCGAACCAUGCCGACGAUGAAACUUCUAGUAGUGAAGAUGAAGAUGAUGUAAUACAAAACACUCCCUGAAUGAUGUGUAUUGCUAAACAAAGUCCUGAACUUGUGAAUAUUUUGUUGGGAUAAUUUUGAAUGAUGAUUGUAUUGUUGAUA
This is a non-coding RNA of Nicotiana tabacum (common tobacco), 2486 nucleotides long. The record is from RefSeq and is a predicted model, not a curated record. Lineage: Eukaryota; Viridiplantae; Streptophyta; Magnoliopsida; Solanales; Solanaceae.